AGUGAACGCUGGCGGUAGGCCUAACACAUGCAAGUCGAACGGCAGCACAGUAAGAGCUUGCUAUUACGGGUGGCGAGUGGCGGACGGGUGAGGAAUACAUCGGAAUCUACUUUUUCGUGGGGGAUAACGUAGGGAAACUUACGCUAAUACCGCAUACGACCUACGGGUGAAAGCAGGGGAUCUUCGGACCUUGCGCGAUUGAAUGAGCCGAUGUCGGAUUAGCUAGUUGGCGGGGUAAAGGCCCACCAAGGCGACGAUCCGUAGCUGGUCUGAGAGGAUGGACGGCCACACUGGAACUGAGACACGGUCCAGACUCCUACGGGGGGCACCGGAGGGGAAUAUUGGACAAUGGGGACAAGCCGAAUCCAGCCAUACCGGGUGGGGAAGGAAGGCCUUCGGGUGGUAAAGCCCUUUUGUAGGGAAAGAAGAGCAGCAGGUUAAUACCCCGCUAUUCUGACGGUACCCAAAGAAUAAGCACCGGCUAACUUCGUG
Molecule: ribosomal RNA, 492 nt
Filed under: uncultured bacterium
Lineage: Bacteria
Description: partial 16S ribosomal RNA
Rfam family: Bacterial small subunit ribosomal RNA
Source: RNAcentral